RNAcentral lists this ribosomal RNA (492 nucleotides) under uncultured bacterium. RNAcentral describes it as "partial 16S ribosomal RNA". It matches the Rfam family "Bacterial small subunit ribosomal RNA", at positions 29 to 507 of the family's 1533-position model. The record is from RNAcentral.
AGUGAACGCUGGCGGCAGGCUUAACACAUGCAAGUCGAACGGCAGCACAGUAAGAGCUUGCUCUUACGGGUGGCGAGUGGCGGACGGGUGAGGAAUACAUCGGAAUCUACUUUUUCGUGGGGGAUAACGUAGGGAAACCUACGCUAAUACCGCAUACGACCUACGGGUGAAAGCAGGGGAUCUUCGGACCUUGCGCGAUUGAAUGCGCCGAUGUCGGACUAGCUAGUUGGCGGGUUAAAGGCCCACCAAGGCGGCGAUCCGUAGCUGGUCAGAGAGGAGGGUCGGCCGCACUGGAGCUGAGACACGGUCCAGACUACUACGAUACGCAGCAGUCGGGAAUAUGAGGCAACGGUGGGGAGUAUUGUCCAGUCGGACCACGUGUGUGACGAAGGCGUUGCGGUUGUAAAGACCGUUUGUUGGGUAUAAAACGCAUCCGGCUGUGACCCCGCUGGAGUGACGGUACCCGGAGAAUAAGCACCGGCUAACUACGUG